CGUGAGUGAUGAAGGCUUUCGAGUCGUAAAGCUCUGUUAGGUGGAAAGAAACAUUCCAACGCUAAUAUCGUUGGAACUUGACGGUACCACCAGAGGAAGCACCGGCUAACUCCGUGCCAGCAGCCGCGGUAAUACGGAGGGUGCAAGCGUUGUUCGGAAUUACUGGGCGUAAAGGGCGUGUAGGCGGUUAGGCAAGUCAGGUGUGAAAUCCCUUGGCUCAACCAAGGAAGUGCGCUUGAAACUGCUUAACUAGAGUACAGGAGGGGAAAGUGGAAUUCCCAGUGUAGAGGUGAAAUUCAUAGAUAUUGGGAGGAACACCGGUAGCGAAGGCGGCUUUCUGGCCUGAUACUGACGCUGAGACGCGAAAGCGUGGGGAGCAAACAGGAUUAGAUACCCUGGUAGUCCACGCUGUAAACGAUGUGCACUAGGUGUAGGAAGUGUUGACCCUUUCUGUGCCGAAGCUAACGCAUUAA
RNAcentral lists this ribosomal RNA (473 nucleotides) under uncultured delta proteobacterium. RNAcentral describes it as "bacterial SSU rRNA". It matches the Rfam family "Bacterial small subunit ribosomal RNA", at positions 400 to 863 of the family's 1533-position model. Lineage: Bacteria; Deltaproteobacteria. The record is from RNAcentral.